UACGUAGGGUGCAAGCGUUGUCCGGAAUUAUUGGGCGUAAAGAGCUCGUAGGCGGUCCGUCACGUCGGGAGUGAAAACUUGGGGCUUAACCCCAAGCCUGCUUCCGAUACGGGCGGACUAGAGGUAGGCAGGGGAGAACGGAAUUCCUGGUGUAGCGGUGAAAUGCGCAGAUAUCAGGAGGAACACCGGUGGCGAAGGCGGUUCUCUGGGCCUUACCUGACGCUGAGGAGCGAAAGCGUGGGGAGCAAACAGG
RNAcentral lists this ribosomal RNA (253 nucleotides) under uncultured bacterium. RNAcentral describes it as "partial 16S ribosomal RNA". It matches the Rfam family "Bacterial small subunit ribosomal RNA", at positions 524 to 776 of the family's 1533-position model. The record is from RNAcentral.